Long non-coding RNA from Trachymyrmex cornetzi, 215 nucleotides. RefSeq lists it as uncharacterized. The transcript is spliced from 3 exons. Lineage: Eukaryota; Metazoa; Arthropoda; Insecta; Hymenoptera; Formicidae. The record is from RefSeq and is a predicted model, not a curated record.
GAGGAGGAGGAGGAGGAGGAGGAGGAGGAGGAAGAUGCUAGAGACUACCCCAUUGAUGUUGAAGAUAUUUCAUACACGCCGAUGUCGAGUGGAUCGAAUCAUUAGAAAUAAUAUUCGAAAGUCGCGUGACUGAAUAAAGCAACUAAAGUACAAACUGGUGGUGGUGGUGGUGGUGGUGGUGGUGGUGAUGGUAGCGGCAGUGCCAACGUUGUUUC